GAUGAAGAACGCAGCGAAAUGCGAUACUUGGUGUGAAUUGCAGAAUCCCGUGAACCAUCGAGUCUUUGAACGCAAGUUGCGCCCGAAGCCAUCAGGUUGAGGGCACGUCUGCCUGGGCGUCACAUAUCGUUGCCCAAUGCCUAUUGCAGUGCAAUAGGAAUUUCUAGGGCGAAUGAUGGCUUCCCGUGAGCGUUGUUGCCUCGCGGUUGGUUGAAAAUCGAGUCCUUGGUAGGGUGUGCCAUGGUAGAUGGUGGUCGAGUUAGAACGAUACCGAUCAUGUGCAUGCUCCCCAAAAUAUGGCCUCUAUGACCCACACGCGUCUUUUGACGCUCAUGACGAGACCUCAGGUCAGGCGGGGCUACCCGCUGAAUUUAAGCAUAUCAACAAGCGGAGGA
Molecule: unclassified non-coding RNA, 395 nt
Filed under: soil metagenome
Description: partial contains 5.8S ribosomal RNA, internal transcribed spacer 2, and large subunit ribosomal RNA
Rfam family: 5.8S ribosomal RNA (bases 1-122)
Source: RNAcentral